UAUUGGACAAUGGGGGCAACCCUGAUCCAGCGAUGCCGCGUGUGUGAAGAAGGCCUGCGGGUUGUAAAGCACUUUUGUUCAGGAAGAGAUUUUAUACAUGAAUAGUGUAUAGAUGAGACAUUACUGAAAGAAAAAGCACCGGCUAACUCUGUGCCAGCAGCCGCGGUAAUACAGAGGGUGCGAGCGUUAAUCGGAGUUACUGGGCGUAAAGGGCGCGUAGGCGGAGAUUUAAGUCAGAUGUGAAAUACCCGAGCUUAACUUGGGGGAGUCGUCUGAUACUGAAUGUCUAGAGUAUUGGAGAGGUAAGUGGAAUUUCCGGUGUAGCGGUGAAAUGCGUAGAUAUCGGAAGGAACAUCCGUGGCGAAGGCGACUUACUGGCCAAAUACUGACGCUGAGGCGCGAAAGCGUGGGGAGCGAACAGG
RNAcentral lists this ribosomal RNA (422 nucleotides) under uncultured bacterium. RNAcentral's name for it is "bacterial SSU rRNA". It matches the Rfam family "Bacterial small subunit ribosomal RNA", at positions 362 to 776 of the family's 1533-position model. The record is from RNAcentral.